GACGAACGCUGGCGGCGUGCUUAACACAUGCAAGUCGAACGAAGUGGCGAACGGGUGAGUAACGCGUAAUUAACCUGCCCUUCAGGGGGGGACAACAGUUGGAAACGACUGCUAAUACCGCAUACUGAAGGAGGGGAUUGCGUCGGAUUGGCUAGUUGGAGGGGUAAUGGCCCACCAAGGCGAUGAUCAGUAGCCGGGUUGAGAGGAUGAACGGCCACAUUGGGACUUGGACCAGGGCCAGAACCCUACGGGAGGCAGCAGUGGGGAAUCUUCCGCAAUGGACGAAAGUCUGACGGAGCAACGCCGCGUGAGUGAUGACGGCCCUCGGGUUGUAAAGCUCUGUUAAUCGGGACGCGGUACCGGAAGAGAAAGCCACGGCUAACUACGUGCCAGCAGCCGCGGUAAUAC
RNAcentral lists this ribosomal RNA (408 nucleotides) under uncultured bacterium. Its description in RNAcentral is "partial 16S ribosomal RNA". It matches the Rfam family "Bacterial small subunit ribosomal RNA", at positions 28 to 526 of the family's 1533-position model. The record is from RNAcentral.